This 625-nucleotide ribosomal RNA is filed under the name Escherichia coli. RNAcentral describes it as "partial 23S ribosomal RNA". It matches the Rfam family "Bacterial large subunit ribosomal RNA", at positions 612 to 1237 of the family's 2925-position model. Lineage: Bacteria; Pseudomonadati; Pseudomonadota; Gammaproteobacteria; Enterobacterales; Enterobacteriaceae. The record is from RNAcentral.
AUAAUGGGUCAGCGACUUAUAUUCUGUAGCAAGGUUAACCGAAUAGGGGAGCCGAAGGGAAACCGAGUCUUAACUGGGCGUUAAGUUGCAGGGUAUAGACCCGAAACCCGGUGAUCUAGCCAUGGGCAGGUUGAAGGUUGGGUAACACUAACUGGAGGACCGAACCGACUAAUGUUGAAAAAUUAGCGGAUGACUUGUGGCUGGGGGUGAAAGGCCAAUCAAACCGGGAGAUAGCUGGUUCUCCCCGAAAGCUAUUUAGGUAGCGCCUCGUGAAUUCAUCUCCGGGGGUAGAGCACUGUUUCGGCAAGGGGGUCAUCCCGACUUACCAACCCGAUGCAAACUGCGAAUACCGGAGAAUGUUAUCACGGGAGACACACGGCGGGUGCUAACGUCCGUCGUGAAGAGGGAAACAACCCAGACCGCCAGCUAAGGUCCCAAAGUCAUGGUUAAGUGGGAAACGAUGUGGGAAGGCCCAGACAGCCAGGAUGUUGGCUUAGAAGCAGCCAUCAUUUAAAGAAAGCGUAAUAGCUCACUGGUCGAGUCGGCCUGCGCGGAAGAUGUAACGGGGCUAAACCAUGCACCGAAGCUGCGGCAGCGACGCUUAUGCGUUGUUGGGUAGGGGAGC